GAUGAAGAACGUAGCGAAAUGCGAUAAGUAAUGCGAAUUGCAGAUCUCCGUGAGUCAUUGAAUCUUUGAACGCACAUUGCGCCCGCCAGCAUUCUGGCGGGCAUGCCUGUUCGAGCGUCAUUUCAACCCUCGAGCCCCCCCGGGGGCCUCGGUGUUGGGGGACGGCACACCAGCCGCCCCCGAAAUGCAGUGGCGACCCCGCCGCAGCCUCCCCUGCGUAGUAGCACACACCUCGCACCGGAGCGCGGAGGCGGUCACGCCGUAAAACGCCCAACUUUCUUAGAGUUGACCUCGGAUCAGGUAGGAAUACCCGCUGAACUUAAGCAUAUCAAUAAGCGGAGGA
This 343-nucleotide unclassified non-coding RNA is filed under the name soil metagenome. RNAcentral describes it as "partial contains 5.8S ribosomal RNA, internal transcribed spacer 2, and large subunit ribosomal RNA". The stretch from base 1 to 120 matches the Rfam family "5.8S ribosomal RNA", at positions 35 to 154 of the family's 154-position model. The record is from RNAcentral.